RNAcentral lists this unclassified non-coding RNA (497 nucleotides) under Hevea brasiliensis (rubber tree). Lineage: Eukaryota; Viridiplantae; Streptophyta; Magnoliopsida; Malpighiales; Euphorbiaceae. The record is from RNAcentral.
GCUAGCUCAAGAGGCACAAAGUUCCCAUCCAAAUCUCUACACACUCAUCACUCGUUACCCAUUUUUUUUUUUCAUCUUCUUCGAUUAGCAAUUUACGAUCAUCUUAUCCCUCAAAAUACCCAAAUUACGCUUGUAAAAUCAAGGGAAAUUGCCAAAAUUCUGUUCCAGAACAAGAAGAGGAAAGCAAAUGGAGAAAGCUAAAGCUUUUCUUGAAUUAACCCAGGGAGAAUCGGACCGGGUUUCGUCUCUUGCUUUUCCUCCUCAUCGGCUCGGUACCGAGUGUAGCUUCUAUGAGUACUAUUCUCUCAGAGGGAUCCGGGUUGACCGAAUUGAACCGGGUCAACUUUUUUGCACCUUCAAAGUUCCUCCUCGUCUCACUGAUAGAGAAGGGAAACUAGCAUCUGGUGCCAUUGCUAAUCUAGUUGAUGAAGUUGGGGGUGCGGUAGUCUACGUGGAGGGUCUCCCCAUGAAUGUAUCAGUGGACAUGUCGAUUUCAU